Molecule: long non-coding RNA, 277 nt
Filed under: Lathyrus oleraceus (garden pea)
Lineage: Eukaryota; Viridiplantae; Streptophyta; Magnoliopsida; Fabales; Fabaceae
Description: Pisum sativum (pea) long non-coding RNA (PSAT_LNC003472)
Source: RNAcentral
UUUAUUCAUAUUUUAAUUUUAAGAGGGUUAAACAUAAAGUGAGAUAGUUGAUUUUUUUUGUAUUUUUAUUUUUCUUUGUUGUUGGACGUUGGUUUUAUGUGCAUUGCAUGAGACGGUUGAACAUGGUUGUUUGUUCAUGAAUAUCAUGUUUGUUCAAACAUGUGUGCAUAGGUUGGCAAAUUUUUUGAUUUAAAAAUAAAACAUGAGGAACAAGAUGAAGACCCUCAUGAUUUUGUUUUUUCCACUCGCGCAUUUUUAUAUUAUAUAUAUCCAUGAG